UAUUAGAAAUUGCAUUCAUUUCUACUGUUUAAAAUUGGCAUGACCACGUGUACCUCAUGCUGAUGUACAAAGACCAGUUUUUAAUAGUAAUAAUGGAUGAAAUUUUUAACA
RNAcentral lists this microRNA precursor (111 nucleotides) under Gossypium hirsutum (cotton). RNAcentral describes it as "MIR7502 microRNA precursor family". It matches the Rfam family "MIR7502 microRNA precursor family". RNAcentral also lists the same sequence under 1 other name. Lineage: Eukaryota; Viridiplantae; Streptophyta; Magnoliopsida; Malvales; Malvaceae. The record is from Rfam by way of RNAcentral.